This 558-nucleotide ribosomal RNA is filed under the name Acaulospora spinosa. Its description in RNAcentral is "SSU rRNA". It matches the Rfam family "Eukaryotic small subunit ribosomal RNA", at positions 404 to 964 of the family's 1831-position model. Lineage: Eukaryota; Fungi; Glomeromycota; Glomeromycetes; Diversisporales; Acaulosporaceae. The record is from RNAcentral.
CGGCUACCACAUCCAAGGAAGGCAGCAGGCGCGCAAAUUACCCAAUCCCAAUACGGGGAGGUAGUGACGAUAAAUAACAAUAUGGGGCUCUUACGGGUCUCGUAAUUGGAAUGAGUACAAUUUAAAUCUCUUAACGAGGAACAAUUGGAGGGCAAGUCUGGUGCCAGCAGCCGCGGUAAUUCCAGCUCCAAUAGCGUAUAUUAAAGUUGUUGCAGUUAAAAAGCUCGUAGUUGAAUUUCGGGAUCUGUCCAUUGGUCGGGCUUCACGGUCCGUACUGGUGUGAUGGGUUCCUACCUUCUGAAUAACCAGCAUGCCAUUUAGUUGGUGCGUUGGGGAAGCAGAGCUAUUACCUUGAAAAAAUUAGAGUGCUUAAAGCAGGCUAGUGCUUGAAUAGAUUAGCAUGGAAUAAUAAAAUAGGACGGCAUGGUUCUAUUUUGUUGGUUUCUAGGAUCACCGUAAUGAUUAAUAGGGAUAGUUGGGGGCAUUAGUAUUCAAUUGUCAGAGGUGAAAUUCUUGGAUUUAUUGAAGACUAACUUCUGCGAGAGCAUUUGCCAAGGA